Molecule: ribosomal RNA, 420 nt
Filed under: uncultured bacterium
Lineage: Bacteria
Description: bacterial SSU rRNA
Rfam family: Bacterial small subunit ribosomal RNA
Source: RNAcentral
UAAGGAAUAUUGCUCAAUGGGAGAAAUCCUGAAGCAGCAACGCCGCGUGGAGGAUGAAGGGUCUAUGACUUGUAAACUCCUGUAAAGAAGGAAAAAAUUCCCAUUUGAUGGGAGAUGAUGGUACUUCUGGAGUAAGCCCCGGCUAACUACGUGCCAGCAGCAGCGGUAAUACGUAGGGGGCAAGCGUUGUCCGGAUUUACUGGGUGUAAAGGGUGCUCAGGCGGAUUUGUAAGUCAGAGGUGAAAUCUUACAGCUUAACUGUGAAACUGCCUUUGAUACUGCAAGCCUAGAGUAUGGAAGAGAGUGAUGGAAUAUCUGGUGGAGCAGUGAAAUGCGUAGAUAUCAGAUAGAACACCAAUGGCGAAGGCAGUCACUUGGUCCAUUACUGACGCUAAAGCACGAAAGCGUGGGUAGCAAACA